RNAcentral lists this long non-coding RNA (2556 nucleotides) under Sus scrofa (pig). Its description in RNAcentral is "lncRNA (ENSSSCG00000057231.1)". The record is from RNAcentral. Lineage: Eukaryota; Metazoa; Chordata; Mammalia; Artiodactyla; Suidae.
AGCCCACUUUGUGCUGUGCAGUCAGACCCAGUUCUUACUUAAAAUAGGCCACCGUUACUAGGAGCAUUUAUCUGGCUAUUUCACUGUGCUUAGUAACUAUGAGAGAACUUUCUCCAUGGUUCUGGAAGGCAUUAGCAUAGUGGCGAAGAACUGAGUUGUUAGAGGGGAAAUCUAACUCAGGAAUUCUCCUACGGAGGUAGACAGCUGGCUCUAUUGGUCUGAACUCUGAGAGAGACAGGUGGACAGAUGGGGUGGGGUAUAGGUCUGAGAGUCACUACCACAUAGAUGGUAGGUGAACUGGGGAACUUGCCCAGGGAGAGUGCCUAGGGGGAGAAGAGAGAGGCUUGGAUAAAAUCCCUGAAUACCACCUAAGGCACAAAGAAGAAUCUUGAAGGAAGACCAAGGAGUGGCCAGAGAAGUAAGAAGAAAACCAAGAGAGAAACAUAUCACAGAAGCCCAGGCAGCUGUGCUUCAAGAAAAAGGAAGAGAAAGUGGGUAAAAAAGGAACUGAAUCAUAUGAAUUGGAUAAAGGAACAAGGUAGUUGAUGUCUUUGGGGAGUUCCCAUUGUGGCUGAGCAGGUUAAGGACCCAACACAGAGUCUGUGAGGAUGCAGGUUUGACCCCUGGCCUCCCACAGUGGGUUAAGGAUCUGGCGUUGCCGCAAGCUGGGUGUAGUUUGCAGAUACAGCUCGGGUCUGGCAUUGCCAUGGCUGUGGUAUAGGCUGCAACUGCAGCUCCAAUACAGCCCCUAGCCUGGGAACUUCCGUAUGCUGCAGGUGUGGCCCUAAAAAGAAAAAAAAAAAGAGUGAAUGGGAGUGAGAAAAUACAGGCAAUGUGUGUAGACCAUAUUUGAGAAACUGGGAAGGAGAGUAAAGGGUUAGAGUAAAAGCUGGAGGGUGAGGAGGGACCGAUAGAUGGUAAGUUUAGAAUGCGAAAGUGUAUUUCACUUCUUAGAGAAAGAAGCAGGAGAAAAGGGGAAGAAAGACACAGGAUAGUGAGAGGACCUGUUGCCUCAGCACUCUUAAUAUCAGAGAUCCUUCCUGACCUCAGAUCAAACAUAUUAAAAUGCACCUGCCAUUCACGCUAAGUAUGUCUUUCGCAAAGAAAAAAAAAUUACAAGGACGUUUAUAAUUUUGCUUGCAAAAUGAGUUGGCGGUGGAUAACUCAGUUUGUAAUUCAGUCUCAUUGAUCAACAAUCCAAAAGACUGUCAGGGAAAAUCCUAGAAUUAAUAGGACAGUCUUUUACUACAUUUAAGUGUUUGAAAAAAAAAACAAAAAACCAAUAGUGCAUAGUCGGGAGUUUGGAAAAUGGAGACCAUCCAACUCACAAAUUAUUUGCAAAUGGAGUGAAAUGUUUAUGAGUAUUAGGUCUGCAAUGCUGACAUAAUAUUGCAUUUUAUUUACCUUCUAUUAUUUAUUACAUUUGCUUUGCAUUAUUUACAUUUUGAAUGCAAACUUUUUUUUUUUUUUGCUUUUGGACACACACAUGUCUUCUUGAAACCGAGCAGGGCCCCAUGGUGCCCCUGGGCACAAAAGCCUUUCUGUGUCCCCCAUUUCUGCUUCUUAGGAAAUGGGCUUCAUUCAGCCACCAUGACCUUCCCUGAGUUCCUAGAGGCAGUUCAGACAGUUGCUGCUCAGGGCAGGGAUGGGAUGCAGAGACAGCGGAGGAACAGUCAAGCACCAACAGUACAGCCUUGGGGCAGGAUCCUGGUCCACUCUCAAGGGAUACACACAAGGAUGUAGGUAUCUUACACACCUAAAAGAAAAGUUAUGUUCCUUAUGCUUCUUUUAGAAAUGAAUACUUAAAAACUGAACAGCUUAGAGUCCUUCCUUCUCCUUCUCCCUGACCCUAAACACAAUCACUUCUAAGCUAAAGAUUAGGCACCCUGAGCAUAACUGCUUGUGGGUUAAAGAUUAUUAGCCCAUGAUGUUUUUCAGGAACUUGCCUAGUUUGUCCUAAUCUCUGAUCAAUGUGCCCUUUUUGCUACUGUUACUCUAGGCAGUAACCCAGAAUCUCUGAUCAAUGUGCCCUUUUUGCUACUGUUACUCUCGGCAGUAACCCAGAAGACCGCCGUCAUGAUCAGGCUGAGAUCUCCUGAUCCAGCUGUGAUGGAUUAAGAUCCCCCCAAAGAGAAUGCGCGUUUGUCCCGAUCCUGAUUCCUAUCUGAAAACUGUCUUUCUCCUUUUUAGUAUAAAUCUCCUGGAAGUUCUUUCCAAUGGGGGCCACAGUCUUCAGGGCAUUAGCCUGCCGUGACCCUCCUUUGCCUGGCAAAGCAGGACAGCUAAUCUUUUCUCCUUUUCUCCAAACUGUCUCUGCAUUUCCAUUCGGCACCAGCGGACACAGGCCGAAAUCCGACAACUGUCUAAAGACCAAGGUUCCUGAAAAGAUAGGAGGUGUCAGGGUAAAGAAGAGAGGUGAAGGAUUCGUCUUGAAAAGGAAACUCAUCUUUUUGCACAAGGAAAGGACAAAAGAGCAGGGGAAGAAGCACGUUGAUAAAAUUCCCAUCUCAUGGUAGCUGGUUACUCUAGCAAGUAGGCAUUAAAAAGCUGUCACUU